AACACAUCACUGCAGGCACAAUCAGAACAGCUGAGCAGCUGGAUCAGGUGUGCAUGGAGCUGCUCCAAUUGCCAUGCAAGCCGAAGACCAAGUGUCCAUCAAAGGAAUCAGCCAGCAAGAGCUACUUUGGAAGUGCUCUGGGGCGGCAGUGACAGGUGCAUGUCAUUACAGUAACUCCAAAAGCCAUUGAAAAGAGCCAAUAACAGAGAAGCUCCACAACUCCAAGAAAGAGCAAGCAUAACUAACCGUAAACAACCUAAUGGAUACUUUCACUUCACAUCUGCCUUUGGGUAACUGGCAGACAUUGGCACAUAUGGAUGAAGCACUGAACUGGAAGCCAUGACACCUACAUACCAUUCAUGGUUCACUGUGUGAACUUUCUGUGCCACAUCAUCAGCAGGAGAGAAAACGAGUGAUGCGAAAUCCUGGAGCCUUGCAUGGCUGCAGAUCCUCGUGCCUUGGGUGCAUCUCGUCUCCCCGCCCGCCCCGCCUUGACAUCUGCCGCUUCUCUCCCCCCUGCGCUUCCCACCGCAAAGCUGCUGCCGCGGCUCCGGCUCGGGAGGAGCAAGGAGGCUCAGCCUAACCCCACCACCUCGCCGGCUGGGGAGCCUGACGGACAGCGGCCUCCGCCCAAUCGGAGCUGGCGGAUCGAGGGGGGGCGGGUCGCGGAGCCCGUUUCACGCUCGGUUGGCCGGCAGCGCUCCGCCUCUCCCCAGCCGCGUCCCCCGGAGCUGUCAGUGGCCCUGGUGCUGCAGCGGGCGGCGGCUUUGCACCGUAGCCGGCGGGCGGCUGCUGCACAGGCGGGAGGGGAGCCAGUGCCAGGUGGACCCCAGACAGGAGCCCGCCUUGCCCUCGUUCUGCGAGGGGUGGAAGCUCGGCAGCGGCCGCGGGGGCUGGCCCAGUCCCCUCUUCAUUGCCACGGGAACUCCUCCCACCAGCGUGCGACUCCCUGAUUGCUGGCCAGAGCGUCUCCUUUUAUUUAUUUAUUUAGUUCACCUCGGCGUGUUGCAACUUAGUCAACUUCAUUUCCCUGAAAAGAGACAUUUGCGGUGCCUUUUAAGGUGCGUGGCCCUGCACGCCUGCCCACACAGAGAUUUCACCCUUGCCCAGUCAGAGCUUGCCAAGCGCCUACCUUUCUUGCAUCGACAGAGGACAAAUCAAGACGACCCUUGAUUGGCACUAGGGUUGUUUUCAAGAGAUGCCUGAAAUUCUUAAUUUUGCUUGCGUGGAAUUUCUUGUGCCCGUUUGCUGCCAUCUUACCACACACGUAGACCCUGAAAAAUACAAAACUCGGCAUUAGUCUCGCUUUGAAAUGAAAUGCCUUUUUUUGUACCAAAAUCACACACACUUGCACCUUUUCACAUUGUGUUUUUGGAGAGAGCCAUCCACCCACACCCACACACACACACACACACACACACACAUGCUUGCUUUUCUUCAAUGACUGGUUUGUUUUCUGUGGAAAGUGAGGCCUCUUUUUAACACACAACUCUGUGAAUAAAGCAAAAUUUUACGGCCAAGAUGGGCCGAUGUUUAACCUUGAAAGAAAUUUUUGGGGGUGGGGGACCUUGAACUGCUCACAAAUACAAUAUUUUGUAUUUUGUUACAAAUAUUUUACUGAGUGUUAUUACCACUGGUUGUCUGAAUGUGAAUUCAUUUAACUAGGGAUGUCCUAGAGAGAAAGUGGGAUGAGUGAAGAAGGGAUGAACAGAAAGGGAGAGUGAUCGAGGACAGAGAAGCACCAAACAUACACUAGCUGGUAACUCAUCAGAAUGUAUGUACCUAUAACCAUAUUUAAUCAUAAAUUAUUCUGGGUUGAAGCCAAUCUCUACCUAUUGAAGAACAGCAUAAGACCUAUAUGGGAAAAGUAUGUCCCACAUCUGCCAAUGGCAGGGUUCUUACAUUUUCCUCUGAAACAUCUGGCACUGACCACUGUGAGAGACAGGGUAAUGUACUAGAUGGAUCAUUGGUCUGAGCCAGUCUGACAAAUCCUAUGUUCCUAUGACAACCUCUUAUUGAUCUAAUGACUCAGGAGCAAGGUGUAGUGUCUAGAGCAUGGGUGGGCAAACUACAGCCCACGAGCCGUUUUAAGCCGGCCUACAGCUCCUGUUGGGGAGCUGGGUCAGGGACCGGACCACGCUGCUGGGCCCCGCUCUGGCCAGGUCACUGGGUCGGGGCCUCACCACAUGGUGUGGCCCCGCUCCGGUGCUCCAACCAAGGCGCAGGGUCGGGGACUGCACCACGUGGCUCCCAGAAGCUGUGGCAUGGCCCCACUCCAGCUCCUACAUGCUCCAAUGGCCCCCUCUGGUGCUCCAAUGGGAGCUGCAGGUAUGGUGCCUGCAGAUGAAGCAGCAUGCAGAGCC
Long non-coding RNA from Dermochelys coriacea (leatherback sea turtle), 2363 nucleotides. RefSeq lists it as uncharacterized. The record is from RefSeq and is a predicted model, not a curated record. Lineage: Eukaryota; Metazoa; Chordata; Testudines; Dermochelyidae. The transcript is spliced from 3 exons.